This 1073-nucleotide ribosomal RNA is filed under the name Salmonella enterica subsp. enterica. RNAcentral's name for it is "partial 23S ribosomal RNA". It matches the Rfam family "Bacterial large subunit ribosomal RNA", at positions 333 to 1308 of the family's 2925-position model. Lineage: Bacteria; Pseudomonadati; Pseudomonadota; Gammaproteobacteria; Enterobacterales; Enterobacteriaceae. The record is from RNAcentral.
UGGAAGCGUCUGGAAAGGCGCGCGAUACAGGGUGACAGCCCCGUACACAAAAGCGCAUAUGCUGUGAGCUCGAUGAGUAGGGCGGGACACGUGGUAUCCUGUCUGAAUAUGGGGGGACCAUCCUCCAAGGCUAAAUACUCCUGACUGACCGAUAGUGAACCAGUACCGUGAGGGAAAGGCGAAAAGAACCCCGGCGAGGGGAGUGAAAAAGAACCUGAAACCGUGUACGUACAAGCAGUGGGAGCCCCACCACUAAGCCAGUGGUGAACUCCACAUACGCAUCCUUUGCUGAGGAGACGGUUAACGGAGCGAAAGCGACGUUCAACCUCAAAAGAAGCAGAGGGGGCUUAGUGGUGGGGUGACUGCGUACCUUUUGUAUAAUGGGUCAGCGACUUAUAUUCUGUAGCAAGGUUAACUGUAUAGGGGAGCCGGAGGGAAACCGAGUCUUAACCGGGCGUUAAGUUGCAGGGUAUAGACCCGAAACCCGGUGAUCUAGCCAUGGGCAGGUUGAAGGUUGGGUAACACUAACUGGAGGACCGAACCGACUAAUGUUGAAAAAUUAGCGGAUGACCUGUGGCUGGGGGUGAAAGGCCAAUCAAACCGGGAGAUAGCUGGUUCUCCCCGAAAGCUAUUUAGGUAGCGCCUCGUGAAUUCAUCUCCGGGGGUAGAGCACUGUUUCGGCUAGGGGGCCAUCCCGGCUUACCAACCCGAUGCAAACUGCGAAUACCGGAGAAUGUUAUCACGGGAGACACACGGCGGGUGCUAAUGUCCGUCGUGAAGAGGGAAACAACCCAGACCGCCAGCUAAGGUCCCAAAGUCAUGGUUAAGUGGGAAACGAUGUGGGAAGGCCCAGACAGCCAGGAUGUUGGCUUAGAAGCAGCCAUCAUUUAAAGAAAGCGUAAUAGCUCACUGGUCGAGUCGGCCUGCGCGGAAGAUGUAACGGGGCUAAACCAUGCACCGAAGCUGCGGCAGCGACACCGUGUGUUGUUGGGUAGGGGAGCGUUCUGUAAGCCUGUGAAGGUGUGCUGUGAGGCAUGCUGGAGGUAUCAGAAGUGCGAAUGCUGACAUAAGUA